GACGAACCGAGCGAACGUUGUUCGGAAUCACUGGGCUUAAAGGGCGCGUAGGCGGACUAUCAAGUCUGGGGUGAAAUUCCCGGGCUCAACCUGGGGGCUGCGCUUGAUACUGAUGAGCUUGAAUGCGGGAGAGGAUAGUGGAAUUCCCAGUGUAGAGGUGAAAUUCGUAGAUAUUGGGAAGAACACCGGUGGCGAAGGCGGCUAUCUGGCCCGUAAUUGACGCUGAGGCGCGAAAGCGUGGGGAGCAAACAGG
This 253-nucleotide ribosomal RNA is filed under the name uncultured bacterium. Its description in RNAcentral is "partial 16S ribosomal RNA". It matches the Rfam family "Bacterial small subunit ribosomal RNA", at positions 524 to 776 of the family's 1533-position model. The record is from RNAcentral.